RNAcentral lists this ribosomal RNA (433 nucleotides) under uncultured bacterium. Its description in RNAcentral is "partial 16S ribosomal RNA". It matches the Rfam family "Bacterial small subunit ribosomal RNA", at positions 29 to 507 of the family's 1533-position model. The record is from RNAcentral.
AACGAACGCUGGCGGCAUGUCUAACACAUGCAAGUCGAACGAGACCUUCGGGUCUAGUGGCGCACGGGUGCGUAACGCGUGGGAACCUUCCCUUAGGUUCGGAAUAACUCCCCGAAAGGGGUGCUAAUACCGGAUAAUGUCUUCGGACCAAAGAUUUAUCGCCUUGGGAUGGGCCCGCGUUGGAUUAGCUAGUUGGUAGGGUAAAAGCCUACCAAGGCGACGAUCCAUAGCUGGUCUGAGAGGAUGAUCAGCCACACUGGGACUGAGACACGGCCCAGACUCCUACGGGAGGCAGCAGUGGGGAAUAUUGGACAAUGGGCGAAAGCCUGAUCCAGCAAUGCCGCGUGAGUGAUGAAGGCCUUAGGGUUGUAAAGCUCUUUUACCCGGGAUGAUAAUGACAGUACCGGGAGAAUAAGCUCCGGCUAACUCCGUG